Molecule: long non-coding RNA, 2695 nt
Organism: Triticum dicoccoides
Lineage: Eukaryota; Viridiplantae; Streptophyta; Magnoliopsida; Poales; Poaceae
Exons: 2
Source: RefSeq, a predicted model, not a curated record
ACGGCGAGGCGGUGGCGCAAGGAAGUGACGGCGAGGCGGCGGCGCAAGGAGGGCGUGGUGCCCGAGGGUAACGGCGAGGCGGCAGCGCAAGGAGGGGGCGGCGCCGGAGGGUGACGGUGAGGCGGCGGCGCAAGGAAGAGGCAGGGGAGCAGGGGCGGCGUGGGGGAAGACCGGAAGAGGCAGGGCAGCACCGCGGGCAGCGUGUGGGUAACUGGACGCAGCGAACCGGGUUGUACCCAUGGUUUGUAGCCCAUAAUGCAUCAAAUGGUUUCAGCCCAUAACCAACUAUACCCAAACUGGUUCCUCUCAAAACUGAAACCAAACCAAACUUAAGAAAGGCUCAGCCCAAUAAGACCUAAACCAAUCAAGCCCAUAAUAAAAACCAACCCAUUUAAACCAGUUUUUCUAAAACCACUCCCAGAUUUAGUCUCUAGCUUCCACCACCAUUUGGUGAGCAAGCUAACGUUCUGUUUAUGAAGAUCUUUAACCCCCAGGCACCCUUUUUCUUUCGAGCGACAUAUUCUAGGCCAUUUCACCAGAUGGUAUCGUUUACGCCCCUCAUGUUCUUGCCAGAAAAACCGCUUACGGUGUUUAUCCAGCUUGCCAAGCACCCCUUUAGGAAUCAGAAACAUAGACAUGUAAUAGUAGACAAUACUGGUCAGGGAUGAAUUAAGAAGAAUAAGACGCCCCCCGAGGAUGCAGCAUUGCCAAUCCAUGACUCGCAGCAUUUAAGGAAUCUUUCAUCCAUAAAAUCCCAGUCUAGAGCACGAAGGUUCGAAAAGCUAACCGGCACCCCAAGGUACUUCAUUGGGAAGUGGCCGAUACUGCAAUUGAACAGAUCCGCAUAAAAUGAUAUAAUCUCGUCACCUCCCCCCACACACAGGAUCUCACUUUUCAUGAAAUUAAUCUUGAGGCCUGACAUAAGCUCAAAUAAGUAGAGCAGUAGUUUCAGGUUAAUGGCUGCCUCCUUAUCAUGUUCAAAGCAAAUUACCGUAUCGUCUGCAUAUUGCAGAAUUGCUACACCUCCCUCGAUUAGAUCCGGCGCCAGGCCAGUUAACAACUUCUCUCUGCGCAUUGGUAACCAUCUUAGAGAGGGUUUCCACCGCGAGAUUGAAUAGAAAGGGGGAAAAUGGGUCGCCUUGACGAACCCCUUUGUAGCUCUGGAAGUAGGGUCCCGUUUCAUUAUUCCACUUAGUAUUCAGAGUGCCAUUGUGAAGGAUUUUUUCCACCCAACCGCACCAGGUUGGGCCAAAUCCCCGGUUUUUGUGGCAUUCAAGGAGGAAUUCCCAGUUUAUCUUAUCGUAGGCUUUUUCGAAGUCCAGCUUAAGUACAAUCCCCACUUUUUUCUUAAGAUGAGUAUGGUGCAAAACUUCAUGGAGAGUCAGUAUUCCAUCCAUAAUAUUUCUGCGUUUUAUGAAGGCGUUUUGGUGCUUGCUAAUCAACUUGUCAGCAAACACUGCCACUCUGUUGUCCAACACCUUUGUGAUAAGCUUGUAUGGGCAUCUAAGUAAACAAAUGGGACGAUACUGCUGAAUUUUCCUCGCCCCACUCAUUUUAGGUAUUAGGGUGAUAAUACCCAGUGUUCAAGAAAGCGUUUUUAAGCGAUGCUUAAGCGCGAUUAAGCGCUGAGCGAUGGCAAAGCGCUUCGCUUUUGCCCUAAGCGGUAGAUUAAGCGUUUUUUAUUUAAAUUUGACCAAAAUUUGGCAAUUUUUGUACUACUUCUGCUGGUCUGCUUGUGCAAUAAUGGCAAUAUGCUAUUUAUCUUAUUACUAGGCUAUGUUCAAGAACUAUUUCCUUCAUAUUUUGGCAAAAUUCUGUCCACAUGAUAUCUGUUAGGUUACGUCUAUUUGAACUGAACUGCAUUUUAGUUGUUAUUUUGCUUGCUAUGCGAACCUGAUAUGUAUUUGCUAUUGUGUGAACUGUAUUUCAGAUGCUACUUCAAUUACCCAUGUGCCAAGCUUCCUAUUUUCAUGUGUAUAUCAUUCAAAAUCUGUCAAAUUCUAGCCAAUUUCAAAAAACGCUUAAGUGCGAUUAAGCUGCGCUUAAGCGCUCAUUGCUCUAAGCUGUGGCCUUCCGCUUCGCUUACGCUUUCCGCUUUCUUGAACAUUGAUAAUACCAUAAUUAAGUCGUGCCACAUCUAGCCUGUUUUCAUAGAAUGCCUCAAAGAGCUGCAUAAUAUCCUUCCUAACAAAGUCCCAGCAGUGUUUAUAGAAUUCAGCUGGGAUAUUGUCUGGACCUGGGGCCCUAUUACUCUCCAUACUAAACAAGGCUGCCUUCACUUCUUCCUCAGUAAACUUUUCGGUUAGGAUAUUAUUGUCCUCUUCUGUGAGUUUCUCACUGUUGGACCAUGUAUCAGGCAAUAAAUGGAACAAGUUCCCCCUCGCUGGGCCAAAGAGGGAUUUGUAAAAAGUUGUUGCGUGAUCAAGCAGGAGCCACCUCUCAUUUGAGUGUUGUAACCAAUACAACUCCUCAUCGGCAAGAAUCUCAUACAGCUCAGCAUAAAGGAUACUACGCUUCUCGUGUGGAUUUCAUGGAGCGUUUCAUGAAGGACCACAACCCCCUCAAGGAUGUUCCUGUCCGGCAUGAAAGCAGUUUGGGUAGGCUGCACAACAACAUGCGCGAUCUGUGUGAGCCUAUUGGUCCCGACCUUGGUGAAAAUUUUGAAACUAACAUUAAGAAGACAGAUUGGCCUGAA